RNAcentral lists this ribosomal RNA (253 nucleotides) under uncultured prokaryote. Its description in RNAcentral is "partial 16S ribosomal RNA". It matches the Rfam family "Bacterial small subunit ribosomal RNA", at positions 525 to 777 of the family's 1533-position model. The record is from RNAcentral.
ACGAAGGGUGCAAGCGUUAAUCGGAAUUACUGGGCGUAAAGGGUGCGUAGGCGGUUCGUUAAGUCUGUCGUGAAAUCCCCGGGCUCAACCUGGGAAUGGCGAUGGAUACUGGCGAGCUAGAGCGUGUCAGAGGAUGGUGGAAUUCCCGGUGUAGCGGUGAAAUGCGUAGAUAUCAGGAGGAACACCCGAGGCGAAGGCGGCUCUCUGGGUCGUACCUGACGCUGAGGCGCGAAAGCGUGGGGAGCGAACGGGA